RNAcentral lists this ribosomal RNA (1220 nucleotides) under Escherichia coli. RNAcentral describes it as "partial 23S ribosomal RNA". It matches the Rfam family "Bacterial large subunit ribosomal RNA", at positions 1 to 1259 of the family's 2925-position model. Lineage: Bacteria; Pseudomonadati; Pseudomonadota; Gammaproteobacteria; Enterobacterales; Enterobacteriaceae. The record is from RNAcentral.
GGUUAAGCGACUAAGCGUACACGGUGGAUGCCCUGGCAGUCAGAGGCGAUGAAGGACGUGCUAAUCUGCGAUAAGCGUCGGUAAGGUGAUAUGAACCGUUAUAACCGGCGAUUUCCGAAUGGGGAAACCCAGUGUGAUUCGUCACACUAUCAUUAACUGAAUCCAUAGGUUAAUGAGGCGAACCGGGGGAACUGAAACAUCUAAGUACCCCGAGGAAAAGAAAUCAACCGAGAUUCCCCCAGUAGCGGCGAGCGAACGGGGAGCAGCCCAGAGCCUGAAUCAGUGUGUGUGUUAGUGGAAGCGUCUGGAAAGGCGCGCGAUACAGGGUGACAGCCCCGUACACAAAAAUGCACAUGCUGUGAGCUCGAUGAGUAGGGCGGGACACGUGGUAUCCUGUCUGAAUAUGGGGGGACCAUCCUCCAAGGCUAAAUACUCCUGACUGACCGAUAGUGAACCAGUACCGUGAGGGAAAGGCGAAAAGAACCCCGGCGAGGGGAGUGAAAAAGAACCUGAAACCGUGUACGUACAAGCAGUGGGAGCACAGAGCAAUCUGUGUGACUGCGUACCUUUUGUAUAAUGGGUCAGCGACUUAUAUUCUGUAGCAAGGUUAACCGAAUAGGGGAGCCGAAGGGAAACCGAGUCUUAACUGGGCGUUAAGUUGCAGGGUAUAGACCCGAAACCCGGUGAUCUAGCCAUGGGCAGGUUGAAGGUUGGGUAACACUAACUGGAGGACCGAACCGACUAAUGUUGAAAAAUUAGCGGAUGACUUGUGGCUGGGGGUGAAAGGCCAAUCAAACCGGGAGAUAGCUGGUUCUCCCCGAAAGCUAUUUAGGUAGCGCCUCGUGAAUUCAUCUCCGGGGGUAGAGCACUGUUUCGGCAAGGGGGUCAUCCCGACUUACCAACCCGAUGCAAACUGCGAAUACCGGAGAAUGUUAUCACGGGAGACACACGGCGGGUGCUAACGUCCGUCGUGAAGAGGGAAACAACCCAGACCGCCAGCUAAGGUCCCAAAGUCAUGGUUAAGUGGGAAACGAUGUGGGAAGGCCCAGACAGCCAGGAUGUUGGCUUAGAAGCAGCCAUCAUUUAAAGAAAGCGUAAUAGCUCACUGGUCGAGUCGGCCUGCGCGGAAGAUGUAACGGGGCUAAACCAUGCACCGAAGCUGCGGCAGCGACACUAUGUGUUGUUGGGUAGGGGAGCGUUCUGUAAGCCUGUGAAGGUGU